This 200-nucleotide unclassified non-coding RNA is filed under the name Hevea brasiliensis (rubber tree). Lineage: Eukaryota; Viridiplantae; Streptophyta; Magnoliopsida; Malpighiales; Euphorbiaceae. The record is from RNAcentral.
GAUCCAAGCGGCAUCUUAAUGCAGGUGGAAACCUCCAUUGUUUCUGACGACGCUAGGAAGAACCCAAGGCUUUAAUAGCCAUUUUCAACAUUUCUCUAGCCAUGUUAACAACCCAGGUGCCUCUCAACUAUGGAAAGGAGAGAAACCCGUGCGACAGGCAGAGGACCAUCCAAGGCCAUUUCCGGCCAUCUCCGACGACG